AGAACGAACGCUGGCGGCAGGCCUAAUACAUGCAAGUCGAACGAUGUAGCAAUACAUAGUGGCGCACGGGUGAGUAACGCGUGGGAAUCUGCCCAUUAGUACGGAAUAACUGCGGGAAACUGCAGCUAAUACCGUAUACGCCCUUCGGGGGAAAGAUUUAUCGCUAAUGGAUGAGCCCGCGUAAGAUUAGCUAGUUGGUGGGGUAAAAGCCUACCAAGGCUACGAUCUUUAGCUGGUCUGAGAGGACGACCAGCCACACUGGAACUGAGACACGGUCCAGACUCCUACGGGAGGCAGCAGUAGGGAAUAUUGGACAAUGGGGGAAACCCUGAUCCAGCCAUGCCGCGUGAGUGAUGAAGGCCUUAGGGUUGUAAAGCUCUUUUACCAGGGAAGAUAAUGACGGUACCUGGAGAAUAAGUUCCGGCUAACUUCGUGCCAGCAGCCGC
This 446-nucleotide ribosomal RNA is filed under the name uncultured bacterium. RNAcentral's name for it is "SSU rRNA". It matches the Rfam family "Bacterial small subunit ribosomal RNA", at positions 26 to 518 of the family's 1533-position model. The record is from RNAcentral.